This 225-nucleotide ribosomal RNA is filed under the name uncultured bacterium. RNAcentral's name for it is "partial 16S ribosomal RNA". It matches the Rfam family "Bacterial small subunit ribosomal RNA", at positions 118 to 345 of the family's 1533-position model. The record is from RNAcentral.
UGAGCAAUCUGCCCUUCACACCGGAAUAACCAUUGGAAACGAUGGCUAAUACCGAAUAUGACUUCGGAUCGCAUGAUCUGAAGUGGAAAGCUCCGGCGGUGAAGGAUGAGCUCGCGGCCUAUCAGCUUGUUGGUGAGGUAAUGGCUCACCAAGGCGACGACGGGUAGCCGGCCUGAGAGGGUGACCGGCCACACUGGGACUGAGACACGGCCCAGAUCCUACGGG